This is a long non-coding RNA of Talpa occidentalis (Iberian mole), 378 nucleotides long. RefSeq lists it as uncharacterized. NCBI's taxonomy places the organism in Eukaryota, Metazoa, Chordata, Mammalia, Eulipotyphla, Talpidae. The record is from RefSeq and is a predicted model, not a curated record. The transcript has 4 exons.
GAUCAUACAAAUGCAUCUGCAAGUCUGGCUACACGGGGGAUGGUAAACACUGCAAAGACGUGGAUGAAUGUGAACGAGAGGAUAACGCAGGUUGCGUGCAUGACUGCGUCAACAUCCCGGCAAUUACCGAUGUACCUGCUAUGAUGGAUUCCACCUGGCACAUGACGGACACAACUGUCUGGAUGUGGAUGAGUGUGCCGAGGGCAACGGUGGCUGCCAACAGAGCUGUGUCAACAUGAUGGGAAGCUAUGAGUGCCACUGCCGGGAAGGCUUCUUCCUCAGCGACAACCAGCACACCUGCAUCCAGCGGCCAGAAGAAGGAAUGAAUUGCAUGAACAAGAACCACGGCUGUGCGCACAUUUGCCGGGAGACGCCCAA